RNAcentral lists this unclassified non-coding RNA (300 nucleotides) under Phylloporus sp. RNAcentral's name for it is "partial contains small subunit ribosomal RNA and internal transcribed spacer 1". The stretch from base 1 to 46 matches the Rfam family "Eukaryotic small subunit ribosomal RNA", at positions 1786 to 1831 of the family's 1831-position model. The record is from RNAcentral. Lineage: Eukaryota; Fungi; Basidiomycota; Agaricomycetes; Boletales; Boletaceae.
AAGUCGUAACAAGGUUUCCGUAGGUGAACCUGCGGAAGGAUCAUUAUCACGUUUCCACGUUUAACAACCGAGAACCGUAUUUCCUGGUGGAAUGGGAUCCUGGGGACAGAGUCUUUGUUGUUGGUAACGAUGGCUUGGACUCAGCUUCAGACCCUUUCAUCGGGAGGUCCACGUUCACACGUGUGACCAACCACAACUUUAACCAAAACGCGUUAUUUUAUGAACUGAUUCUGUUCUUACUUUGCGUUCACACGCGAAGACGAACAAAGUUAUUUAAACUAAGUACAACUCUUAGCAACG